Molecule: transfer RNA, 72 nt
Filed under: Ictidomys tridecemlineatus (thirteen-lined ground squirrel)
Lineage: Eukaryota; Metazoa; Chordata; Mammalia; Rodentia; Sciuridae
Description: Spermophilus tridecemlineatus (thirteen-lined ground squirrel) tRNA
Rfam family: tRNA
About the family: Transfer RNA (tRNA) molecules are approximately 80 nucleotides in length.
Source: Rfam by way of RNAcentral
UGGGGAGUAGCUCAGCAGCAGGGCGCAUGCCUGGCAAGCAUGAGGUCCUGAGUUCCAUCCCCAGUGCGACAG